UACGUAGGGGGCUAGCGUUGUCCGGAUUUAUUGGGCGUAAAGAGCGCGUAGGCGGCCGAGUAAGUCCGACGUGAAAUCUGGAGGCUCAACCUCCAGCGGUCGUUGGAAACUACUCGGCUAGAGUCCGGAAGAGGAGAGUGGAAUUCCUGGUGUAGCGGUGAAAUGCGCAGAUAUCAGGAAGAACACCGAUGGCGAAGGCAGCUCUCUGGGACGGUACUGACGCUGAGACGCGAAAGCGUGGGGAGCGAACAGG
RNAcentral lists this ribosomal RNA (253 nucleotides) under uncultured bacterium. RNAcentral describes it as "partial 16S ribosomal RNA". It matches the Rfam family "Bacterial small subunit ribosomal RNA", at positions 524 to 776 of the family's 1533-position model. The record is from RNAcentral.